Molecule: ribosomal RNA, 254 nt
Filed under: uncultured bacterium
Lineage: Bacteria
Description: partial 16S ribosomal RNA
Rfam family: Bacterial small subunit ribosomal RNA
Source: RNAcentral
CACGUAGGGGGCAAGCGUUGUCCGGAUUCAUUGGGCGUAAAGAGCUCGUAGGCGGUUCGAUAAGUCGGGUGUGAAACCUCCAGGCUCAACCUGGAGACGCCACCCGAUACUGUCGUGACUAGAGUCCAGUAGGGGAGCGUGGAAUUCCUGGUGUAGCGGUGAAAUGCGCAGAUAUCAGGAGGAACACCAGUGGCGAAGGCGGCGCUCUGGGCUGGAACUGACGUUGAGGAGCGAAAGCGUGGGGAGCGAACAGG